Arachis duranensis is the source of this 386-nucleotide long non-coding RNA. RefSeq lists it as uncharacterized. The transcript is spliced from 2 exons. Lineage: Eukaryota; Viridiplantae; Streptophyta; Magnoliopsida; Fabales; Fabaceae. The record is from RefSeq and is a predicted model, not a curated record.
GUUUGAUCUGAGAGCUUACAUUGCUCAUAUCAUGUGUUCUCAGGUCGCCCCUGCGGGACUUUCUCUACUAAAUUACGGGAUUGUUUUCAAAGUGUAUUUGAUUGUGGAUGCAGUUCCCACAAAUGAAAUUGGAGGUAAAAUAAAAAGAACAGGGAGAAAACCAGAAGAACCGGCAGCGCGAGGCAACAUGCCGAUAGGACAUGGGUUCCAUGACUUUGCCAGAGUCCACACCUGUGGUCUUUUACUCUCGCAAUCCAUAGCCAUUGGAUUUUUCUUCUUCAUAAUCUGUUGUUUAACUGACUCUAGCUUUCUAGCUGCUUCAUGUAUACAUUCCUCAAAUUGGGAUAUAUUCUUUGAAUUCAAUAAAGAGUUAUCAUCAUCAGAAA